AACGAACGCUGGCGGCAUGCCUAACACAUGCAAGUCGAACGAGACCUUCGGGUCUAGUGGCGCACGGGUGCGUAACGCGUGGGAACCUGCCCGUAGGUUCGGAAUAACUCCCCGAAAGGGGUGCUAAUACCGGAUAAUGUCUGCGGACCAAAGAUUUAUCGCCUUUGGAUGGGCCCGCGUUGGAUUAGCUAGUUGGUAGGGUAAAAGCCUACCAAGGCGACGAUCCAUAGCUGGUCUGAGAGGAUGAUCAGCCACACUGGGACUGAGACACGGCCCAGACUCCUACGGGAGGCAGCAGUGGGGAAUAUUGGAAAAUGGGCGAAAGCCUGAUCCAGCAAUGCCGCGUGAGUGAUGAAGGCCUUAGGGUUGUAAAGCUCUUUUACCCGGGAUGAUAAUGACAGUACCGGGAGAAUAAGCACCGGCUAACUCCGUG
This 433-nucleotide ribosomal RNA is filed under the name uncultured bacterium. RNAcentral's name for it is "partial 16S ribosomal RNA". It matches the Rfam family "Bacterial small subunit ribosomal RNA", at positions 29 to 507 of the family's 1533-position model. The record is from RNAcentral.